Molecule: ribosomal RNA, 448 nt
Filed under: uncultured Syntrophus sp.
Lineage: Bacteria; Pseudomonadati; Thermodesulfobacteriota; Syntrophia; Syntrophales; Syntrophaceae
Description: bacterial SSU rRNA
Rfam family: Bacterial small subunit ribosomal RNA
Source: RNAcentral
UGGAUGAUGUGGAUUAAUUCGAUGCAACGCGAAAACCUUACCUACCCUUGACAUGUCUGGAGCCUUGGUGAGAGCCGAGGGUGCCUUCGGGAGCCAGAACACAGGUGCUGCAUGGCUGUCGUCAGCUCGUGUCGUGAGAUGUUGGGUUAAGUCCCGCAACGAGCGCAACCCUUGUCACUAGUUGCCAUCAUUCAGUUGGGCACUUUAGAGAGACUGCCGGUGUUAAACCGGAGGAAGGUGGGGAUGACGUCAAGUCCUCAUGGCCUUUAUGCCCAGGGCUACACACGUGCUACAAUGGGUGGUACAAAGAGCAGCCAGCUCGCGAGAGUGAGCAAAUCUCAAAAAGCCAUCCUCAGUUCGGAUUGGAGUUUGCAACUCGACUCCAUGAAGUUGGAAUCGCUAGUAAUCGCGGAUCAGCAUGCCGCGGUCGAAUACGUUCCCGGGCCUU